GCAGGGGGAGCUACAGAGGGAGAGGGAGAGAGUCUGCUAAGCAGGAAGCCCAAUGUGGGACUUGAUUCCAGGACCCUGAGAUCAUGACCUGAGCCAAAGACAGAUGCUUAACCAAUUGAGCCACCCAGGUGGCCCAAGAUAUUACCUGGCAAUCAAGGUCUUACUCAUGAUUACCUUUGUCUAAGUGCUUAUGUGGGUUCUUGAAAGUGAAACUGUAGGAAAAUCUUGCUAUUCUUAAUAUCUCUUCUAAUGCCUUACUAACUAGCUGAAUCCUAGAGUCAGAGUGAUCUUCGAUUGAGCCUUCCUUCUGCCAAACCUCAUUUAUAGGAUCUUGGGUAAUAUAUUUCACAAUCUCACUUUCUUCAUCUGUGAAAUUGGAAUAUUGAUUGUUUCUCUUGAAUGACAUUGUGUGGAGGAAGAUCAGAUAAGGAUGUAAAAUACCAAAUAGAAUUUCUGGUGCAUAGUAGUCCUCCCACAUGUGUUCUGUGUUAUGGUUAACACAAAGGGCCCUCACAUGACCUUAUUUGAUUAUUUUCAUUCUACAGGGUAGGCAGAGGAGUUGUCAUUGCCAUUUUUAAUUUUUUAAAGGAAGAAAAAGAAAUAGAGAAAUGUUAAAGGGUUUGUUAAAUAUUGCAUUCCCCCCCCCCAAAAAAAUGGCAGAACUGAGGCUCAGACUUCUCUCUUUGCUCAUCUUACUAUAGCACUGUACCAACUUGACCAUGGACACCAAGGCUUCAAUCUUGAGGUGAAUUUCAAAACAUUUAUCAAGAGAGAAGAGGUUUGGGGCAUGUUAAUUCUUCUGAAGGAGUACUAGACUGGUUGGGGGACUACAUUUGGAGACCGAUUCUUCUUUGUCUUUAAGGUAAUCUGUUUCAAAGGAAUGGUCAUAAAGUUCCUACAACAGUAAAUUCUUAUCUUCAUAAAAUAUUUUAUUCACUGUAAUAGUCACUUAGAAAGGAUCU
This 962-nucleotide long non-coding RNA is filed under the name Canis lupus familiaris (dog). RNAcentral's name for it is "lncRNA (ENSCAFG00040011889.1)". Lineage: Eukaryota; Metazoa; Chordata; Mammalia; Carnivora; Canidae. The record is from RNAcentral.